This 872-nucleotide ribosomal RNA is filed under the name uncultured fungus. Its description in RNAcentral is "LSU rRNA". It matches the Rfam family "Eukaryotic large subunit ribosomal RNA", at positions 77 to 966 of the family's 3401-position model. Lineage: Eukaryota; Fungi. The record is from RNAcentral.
GCCUCAGUAACGGCGAGUGAACGGCAACAGCUCAAAUUUGAGAUCUGGCCUCCUUUGGGGGUCCGAGUUGUAAUUUGCAGAGGAUGCUUUGGCAUUGGCGGCGGUCUAAGUUCCUUGGAACAGGACAUCGCAGAGGGUGAGAAUCCCGUACGUGGGCGCCUGCCUUUGCCGUGUAAAGCUCCUUCGACGAGUCGAGUUGUUUGGGAAUGCAGCUCUAAAUGGGAGGUAAAUUUCUCCUAAAGCUAAAUACCGGCCAGAGACCGAUAGCGCACAAGUAGAGUGAUCGAAAGAUGAAAAGUACUUUGGAAAGAGAGUCAAAUAGCACGUGAAAUUGUUGAAAGGGAAGCGCUUGCAGCCAGACUUGCCCGCAGUUGCUCACCUAGGCUUUCGCCUGGGGCACUCUUCUGCGGGCAGGCCAGCAUCAGUUUGGGCGGUCGGAUAAAGGCCUCUGUCAUGUACCACCCCUCGGGGUGGCCUUAUAGGGGAGGCGUAAUGCGACCAGCCCGGACUGAGGUCCGCGCAUCUGCUAGGAUGCUGGCGUAAUGGCUGUAAGCGGCCCGUCUUGAAACACGGACCAAGGAGUCUAACAUCUAUGCGAGUGUUUGGGUGUCAAGCCCGGGCGCGCAAUGAAAGUGAACGGAGGUGGGAACCCUUCGGGGUGCACCAUCGACCGAUCCUGAAGUCUUCGGAUGGAUUUGAGUAAGAGCAUAGCUGUUGGGACCCGAAAGAUGGUGAACUAUGCUUGAAUAGGGUGAAGCCAGAGGAAACUCUGGUGGAGGCUCGCAGCGGUUCUGACGUGCAAAUCGAUCGUCAAAUUUGGGCAUAGGGGCGAAAGACUAAUCGAACCAUCUAGUAGCUGGUUCCUGCCGAGA